GGGCGAUUAGCUCAGUUGGGAGAGCACCUGCCUUACAAGCAGGGGGUCACUGGUUCAAGCCCGGUAUCGCCCA
Molecule: transfer RNA, 73 nt
Organism: Ferrimonas marina
Lineage: Bacteria; Pseudomonadati; Pseudomonadota; Gammaproteobacteria; Alteromonadales; Ferrimonadaceae
Rfam family: tRNA
About the family: Transfer RNA (tRNA) molecules are approximately 80 nucleotides in length. Their secondary structure includes four short double-helical elements and three loops (D, anti-codon, and T loops).
Source: Rfam